AUUGCAGGCUGCAACUCGCCUGCAUGAAGUUGGAAUUGCUAGUAAUCGCGAAUCAGAAUGUCGCGGUGGAAUACGUUCCCGGGCCUUGUACACACCGCCCGUCACACCAUGAGAGUCGAUAACACCCGAAGCCUGUGAGCUAACCUUUUAGGAGGCAGCAGUCGAAGGUGGGGUUGAUGAUUGGGGUGAAGUCGUAACAAGGUAUC
RNAcentral lists this ribosomal RNA (206 nucleotides) under uncultured bacterium. RNAcentral describes it as "partial 16S ribosomal RNA". It matches the Rfam family "Bacterial small subunit ribosomal RNA", at positions 1297 to 1500 of the family's 1533-position model. The record is from RNAcentral.